Molecule: ribosomal RNA, 292 nt
Filed under: uncultured bacterium
Lineage: Bacteria
Description: partial 16S ribosomal RNA
Source: RNAcentral
GGACUACCGGGGUUUCUAAUCCUGUUUGCUCCCCACGCUUUCGCGCCUCAGCGUCAGUUGCAGGCCAGCGAGCUGCCUUCGCCAUGGGUGUUCCGAUCGAUAUCUACGCAUUUCACCGCUACACCGACCAUUCCACUCGCCUCUCCCGCACUCAAGGCCCCCAGUAUGAAAGGCAGUGUUGGGGUUGAGCCCCAACCUUUCACCACUCACUUAAAGACCCGCCUACGCGCUCUUUACGCCCAGUAACUUCGGACAACGCUCGCCCCCUACGUAUUACCGCGGCUGCUGGCAC